CGGACGGGUGAGUAAUGUCUGGGAAACUGCCUGAUGGAGGGGGAUAACUACUGGAAACGGUAGCUAAUACCGCAUAACGUCGCAAGACCAAAGAGGGGGACCUUCGGGCCUCUUGCCAUCGGAUGUGCCCAGAUGGGAUUAGCUAGUAGGUGGGGUAAAGGCUCACCUAGGCGACGAUCCCCAGCUGGUCUGAGAGGAUGACCAGCCACACUGGAACUGAGACACGGUCCAG
This 232-nucleotide ribosomal RNA is filed under the name uncultured bacterium. Its description in RNAcentral is "partial 16S ribosomal RNA". It matches the Rfam family "Bacterial small subunit ribosomal RNA", at positions 99 to 334 of the family's 1533-position model. The record is from RNAcentral.